CGCACAUUGCGCCCUUUGGUAUUCCGAAGGGCAUGCCUGUUCGAGCGUCAUUAUCACCCCUCAAGCCCCCGGGCGUUGAUGUUGGACGGCUGGUCGGCUUGCGUCGACCCCUCCUAAAGAUAAUGACGGUGGCCUCGUUGGACCCCGGUACGCUGAGCCUUAUGGGCAUGUAUCGGAUUAGGGACUUCGGGCUCCGGUCUAGGUCUACUGUCUCUGGACGGUGGACACCCCUUCUAAGGUUGACCUCGGAUCAGGUAGGAAUACCCGCUGAACUUAA
This 277-nucleotide unclassified non-coding RNA is filed under the name Capronia fungicola. Its description in RNAcentral is "partial contains 5.8S ribosomal RNA, internal transcribed spacer 2, and large subunit ribosomal RNA". Lineage: Eukaryota; Fungi; Ascomycota; Eurotiomycetes; Chaetothyriales; Herpotrichiellaceae. The record is from RNAcentral.